This 2900-nucleotide ribosomal RNA is filed under the name Klebsiella pneumoniae. Its description in RNAcentral is "bacterial LSU rRNA". It matches the Rfam family "Bacterial large subunit ribosomal RNA". The record is from RNAcentral. Lineage: Bacteria; Pseudomonadati; Pseudomonadota; Gammaproteobacteria; Enterobacterales; Enterobacteriaceae.
UUAAGCGACUAAGCGUACACGGUGGAUGCCCUGGCAGUCAGAGGCGAUGAAGGACGUGCUAAUCUGCGAAAAGCGUCGGUAAGGUGAUAUGAACCGUUAUAACCGGCGAUGUCCGAAUGGGGAAACCCAGUGCAAUUCGUUGCACUAUCGUUAACUGAAUACAUAGGUUAACGAGGCGAACCGGGGGAACUGAAACAUCUAAGUACCCCGAGGAAAAGAAAUCAACCGAGAUUCCCCCAGUAGCGGCGAGCGAACGGGGAGCAGCCCAGAGUCUGAAUCAGCUUGUGUGUUAGUGGAACGGUCUGGAAAGUCCGACGGUACAGGGUGAUAGUCCCGUACACCAAAAUGCACAGGUUGUGAACUCGAAGAGUAGGGCGGGACACGUGGUAUCCUGUCUGAAUAUGGGGGGACCAUCCUCCAAGGCUAAAUACUCCUGACUGACCGAUAGUGAACCAGUACCGUGAGGGAAAGGCGAAAAGAACCCCGGCGAGGGGAGUGAAAAAGAACCUGAAACCGUGUACGUACAAGCAGUGGGAGCACCUUCGGGUGUGACUGCGUACCUUUUGUAUAAUGGGUCAGCGACUUAUAUUCUGUAGCAAGGUUAACCGUAUAGGGGAGCCGCAGGGAAACCGAGUCUUAACUGGGCGUUAAGUUGCAGGGUAUAGACCCGAAACCCGGUGAUCUAGCCAUGGGCAGGUUGAAGGUUGGGUAACACUAACUGGAGGACCGAACCGACUAAUGUUGAAAAAUUAGCGGAUGACUUGUGGCUGGGGGUGAAAGGCCAAUCAAACCGGGAGAUAGCUGGUUCUCCCCGAAAGCUAUUUAGGUAGCGCCUCGUGAAUUCAUCUUCGGGGGUAGAGCACUGUUUCGGCUAGGGGGUCAUCCCGACUUACCAACCCGAUGCAAACUACGAAUACCGAAGAAUGUUAUCACGGGAGACACACGGCGGGUGCUAACGUCCGUCGUGAAGAGGGAAACAACCCAGACCGCCAGCUAAGGUCCCAAAGUCAUGGUUAAGUGGGAAACGAUGUGGGAAGGCACAGACAGCCAGGAUGUUGGCUUAGAAGCAGCCAUCAUUUAAAGAAAGCGUAAUAGCUCACUGGUCGAGUCGGCCUGCGCGGAAGAUGUAACGGGGCUAAACCAUGCACCGAAGCUGCGGCAGCGACACUAUGUGUUGUUGGGUAGGGGAGCGUUCUGUAAGCCUGCGAAGGUGACCUGUGAGGGUUGCUGGAGGUAUCAGAAGUGCGAAUGCUGACAUAAGUAACGAUAAAGCGGGUGAAAAGCCCGCUCGCCGGAAGACCAAGGGUUCCUGUCCAACGUUAAUCGGGGCAGGGUGAGUCGACCCCUAAGGCGAGGCCGAAAGGCGUAGUCGAUGGGAAACAGGUUAAUAUUCCUGUACUUGGUGUUACUGCGAAGGGGGGACGGAGAAGGCUAUGUUAGCCGGGCGACGGUUGUCCCGGUUUAAGCAUGUAGGCUGAUUGUCCAGGCAAAUCCGGAUAAUCAAGGCUGAGGUGUGAUGACGAGGCACUACGGUGCUGAAGUAACAAAUGCCCUGCUUCCAGGAAAAGCCUCUAAGCAUCAGGUAACAUUAAAUCGUACCCCAAACCGACACAGGUGGUCAGGUAGAGAAUACCAAGGCGCUUGAGAGAACUCGGGUGAAGGAACUAGGCAAAAUGGUGCCGUAACUUCGGGAGAAGGCACGCUGGUGUGUAGGUGAAGCCCCUGCGGGUGGAGCUGAGACCAGUCGAAGAUACCAGCUGGCUGCAACUGUUUAUUAAAAACACAGCACUGUGCAAACACGAAAGUGGACGUAUACGGUGUGACGCCUGCCCGGUGCCGGAAGGUUAAUUGAUGGGGUUAUCCGUAAGGAGAAGCUCUUGAUCGAAGCCCCGGUAAACGGCGGCCGUAACUAUAACGGUCCUAAGGUAGCGAAAUUCCUUGUCGGGUAAGUUCCGACCUGCACGAAUGGCGUAAUGAUGGCCAGGCUGUCUCCACCCGAGACUCAGUGAAAUUGAACUCGCUGUGAAGAUGCAGUGUACCCGCGGCAAGACGGAAAGACCCCGUGAACCUUUACUAUAGCUUGACACUGAACAUUGAGCCUUGAUGUGUAGGAUAGGUGGGAGGCUUUGAAGCGUGGACGCCAGUCUGCGUGGAGCCAACCUUGAAAUACCACCCUUUAAUGUUUGAUGUUCUAACGUUGGCCCCUUACCGGGGUUGCGGACAGUGUCUGGUGGGUAGUUUGACUGGGGCGGUCUCCUCCCAAAGCGUAACGGAGGAGCACGAAGGUUAGCUAAUCCUGGUCGGACAUCAGGAGGUUAGUGCAAUGGCAUAAGCUAGCUUGACUGCGAGCGUGACGGCGCGAGCAGGUGCGAAAGCAGGUCAUAGUGAUCCGGUGGUUCUGAAUGGAAGGGCCAUCGCUCAACGGAUAAAAGGUACUCCGGGGAUAACAGGCUGAUACCGCCCAAGAGUUCAUAUCGACGGCGGUGUUUGGCACCUCGAUGUCGGCUCAUCACAUCCUGGGGCUGAAGUAGGUCCCAAGGGUAUGGCUGUUCGCCAUUUAAAGUGGUACGCGAGCUGGGUUUAGAACGUCGUGAGACAGUUCGGUCCCUAUCUGCCGUGGGCGCUGGAGAAUUGAGGGGGGCUGCUCCUAGUACGAGAGGACCGGAGUGGACGCAUCACUGGUGUUCGGGUUGUCAUGCCAAUGGCACUGCCCGGUAGCUAAAUGCGGAAGAGAUAAGUGCUGAAAGCAUCUAAGCACGAAACUUGCCCCGAGAUGAGUUCUCCCUGAGACUUUAAGUCUCCUGAAGGAACGUUAAAGACGAUGACGUUGAUAGGCCGGGUGUGUAAGCGCAGCGAUGCGUUGAGCUAACCGGUACUAAUGAACCGUGAGGCUUAACCUU